Molecule: long non-coding RNA, 1113 nt
Organism: Cercocebus atys (sooty mangabey)
Lineage: Eukaryota; Metazoa; Chordata; Mammalia; Primates; Cercopithecidae
Exons: 2
Source: RefSeq, a predicted model, not a curated record
AUUGAUAGGUGUCAACAGCUUUGUGGCGGAAUGAACACUACUCAGUUCCACCAGACAACUCCAAUGCUUCAAAGGAAAACAUCGGUCGUGGUGGCCAAGUAAUGCCCAUAUCCACCUCAAGUGAAAACAGCUGUGUUGACAAAGUGAUGAUAUAAUCCAAUUCCCCCUGUAACAUCUGCAAUCCAGACCCAGAAUCAUGUCAAAGAAUGCUAUGACAAAUAUAAUCUAUCUAAUAAUAGGGUUUGUGUUUUGUUUUUCCUGCUAAAUGCAUUUUGUCCAGUGAACCAUCUAAGACUUUUCUCUUUGUAUUUGUUUGUUUGUUUGUUUUUUGUUUGUUUGUUUGGUCUUAAAGUUGUUGAUUUCAACCUCCUGGUUUCCAUAGUCCCAAGACCAUGGGACAAUAUCUUUGGAUAAUUCCUCUAUGCCAGUUCCUUGAACUCUGAGAUGAGAAAUGUCCUUGAGUGGAUCCAAUCACAGCAUUGCCUUUUUCUCCAGAAGUGCCUUCUCAGCUGCAGAGAUAGCUCAGGCAGCUGCACAGGUCGUAUGUGACCUGGUGUCUCAGGGCCAGGGAGUAAAAUCAGUGGUGUACGUACACUGUAGAACUUGGCUAACAGCUCUCUUCCCUGGGAUUCUGUUGAGAUUCCCAGAACUUUGGUGAAGUGUGUGUGUGACUAUGUGUGUGUGUGUGUGUGUGUGUAUGUGUGUCUGGCACUGAGGCAAUGUAAACCUAGAGGCUGGGUGAUGACCCUGUGCAGAGAGCAGCAAAGGAAGCCUGUCUGCAGUUGAGAACAGUGAAACAUGUAAGGAAGGAGAAGCAGAGAAGAUGAGGCAGAGAGUGCUGGGUUACUGGUAGCUUUGCAGCUCUUGCCUCAGUCCACAGGCACAGUCCUGCAAUCUCCACAAACUUCCUUCUGGUUUCUUCAUCUCCUUCAAUCUUCCACAGUAAAACAUCGACCUUUUGUUUCACUAUGUUUUCAACUUCGACUUCCCUUUUCUAGUUUAAACUUUUCCCAUCUCUGUAUUUUUUCUAAUUAUACCUAGGAGUCAUCCCCCAUAGCACAUGUAUUGGACACAAAGUACUUAUGGUUGCAAAAAAAAAAAAAAAAAAAAAGG